GUGAGCUCUUCUACGAAAGAUCUUGUGAAAGUUUUUGUGAGACAUCUCAACUCGGGGUUACACUUGGCUCCUCAGUGCUCCUACCAUGCGUCUUUUCAACAAAUAGCAACAACAGGAUUAACUGGAUCCAUAAUGGGGAGGACGACCUUGUGAUUAUUUCGUCCAAGGGCAAAGUUACAUUCCUGGGCCCUAGACACGGCCGAGUGAAAGUCUUUUCAGUCCAGGCCUCGGAGGGGAACUACUCAAUCUGCAUUGAUGAUCUGAAAAAGUCUGAUCUGGGCUGUUACCUCUGCAAGCAGAGAGAUGACUGUUUUCAAGUAGAGUUGUUGAGAGGACAUAUGUUGACCGGUAAAUGAAGUGAUGAGAUGCAGCUGCUGAGAUACAUCUUUGUUGGUGUUGCUGUUCUCAUCUUGCUCAGCUUUGGUGCUCACUACUGCUGCAAGGAAUGGCUUUAUAACAACAACACACAGGACAACACAGACAACCCUGUCAGUUCAGAUACUGGAGGCAGACAAUAAUUUUAAAACAAUGCUAGGAUAAAAAGCAGAGACAAAUCCUAUGCAAAUGUGGGCUCCGUGAUCACAAAAAAGGAAGAAGAAAGAAAAUUACAGCCACCGAAUGAAUACUUAAUAUGUGGUUACUGUUUGACAGAUGUUUUAAGACUGAAAACCAUUUAGUUCUAUCUUGUAAAAUCUUUAAUAAAAU
Melanotaenia boesemani (Boeseman's rainbowfish) is the source of this 705-nucleotide long non-coding RNA. RefSeq lists it as uncharacterized. The record is from RefSeq and is a predicted model, not a curated record. The transcript is spliced from 3 exons. Lineage: Eukaryota; Metazoa; Chordata; Actinopteri; Atheriniformes; Melanotaeniidae.